This 255-nucleotide ribosomal RNA is filed under the name uncultured bacterium. RNAcentral describes it as "partial 16S ribosomal RNA". It matches the Rfam family "Bacterial small subunit ribosomal RNA", at positions 77 to 334 of the family's 1533-position model. The record is from RNAcentral.
CAAACUGAAGAUGGCGACCGGCGCACGGGUGAGUAACACGUAUCCAACCUGCCGAUAACUCGGGGAUAGCCUUUCGAAAGAAAGAUUAAUACCCGAUGGUAUAAUAAAACCGCAUGGUUUAAUUAUUAAAGAAUUUCGGUUAUCGAUGGGGAUGCGUUCCAUUAGGCAGUUGGUGAGGUAACGGCUCACCAAACCUUCGAUGGAUAGGGGUUCUGAGAGGAAGGUCCCCCACAUUGGAACUGAGACACGGUCCAA